This 1318-nucleotide ribosomal RNA is filed under the name metagenome. RNAcentral's name for it is "bacterial LSU rRNA". It matches the Rfam family "Bacterial large subunit ribosomal RNA", at positions 1566 to 2874 of the family's 2925-position model. The record is from RNAcentral.
UUAACGAGGCUGCUUGCAGCCGAAGUGAGUGAUACCCUGCUUCCAGGAAAAGCCACUAAGCUUCAGCUACACACGACCGUACCGCAAACCGACACUGGUGCGCGAGAUGAGUAUUCUAAGGCGCUUGAGAGAACUCAGGAGAAGGAACUCGGCAAAUUGAUACCGUAACUUCGGGAGAAGGUAUGCCCCAAGUAGGUGAACCUGUACAAGGCGAGCCCAAAGGGGUUGCAAAAAAUCGGUGGCUGCGACUGUUUAAUAAAAACACAGCACUCUGCAAACACGAAAGUGGACGUAUAGGGUGUGACGCCUGCCCGGUGCUGGAAGAUUAAAUGAUGGGGUGCAAGCUCUUGACUGAAGUCCCAGUAAACGGCGGCCGUAACCAUAACGGUCCUAAGGUAGCGAAAUUCCUUGUCGGGUAAGUUCCGACCUGCACGAAUGGCGUAACGAUGGCCACACUGUCUCCUCCUGAGACUCAGCGAAGUUGAAAUGUUUGUGAUGAUGCAAUCUCCCCGCGGAAAGACGGAAAGACCCCAUGAACCUUUACUGUAGCUUUGUAUUGGACUUUGAACAGAUCUGUGUAGGAUAGGUGGGAGGCUUUGAAGUGAGGUCGCUAGAUCUCAUGGAGCCAACGUUGAAAUACCACCCUGGUGUGUUUGAGGUUCUAACCUAGGUCCAUUAUCUGGAUCGGGGACAGUGCAUGGUAGGCAGUUUGACUGGGGCGGUCUCCUCCCAAAGCGUAACGGAGGAGUUCGAAGGUACGCUAGUUACGGUCGGACAUCGUGACGAUAGUGCAAUGGCAUAAGCGUGCUUAACUGCGAGACUGACAAGUCGAGCAGAUGCGAAAGCAGGACAUAGUGAUCCGGUGGUUCUGUAUGGAAGGGCCAUCGCUCAACGGAUAAAAGGUACUCUGAGGAUAACAGGCUGAUACCGCCCAAGAGUUCAUAUCGACGGCGGUGUUUGGCACCUCGAUGUCGGCUCAUCUCAUCCUGGGGCUGUAGCCGGUCCCAAGGGUAUGGCUGUUCGCCAUUUAAAGAGGUACGUGAGCUGGGUUUAAAACGUCGUGAGACAGUUUGGUCCCUAUCUUCCGUGGGCGCUGCAGAUUUGAGGAAGCCUGCUCCUAGUACGAGAGGACCGGAGUGGACACACCUCUGGUGUAUCGGUUGUCACGCCAGUGGCAUUGCCGAGUAGCUAAGUGUGGAAGAGAUAACCGCUGAAAGCAUCUAAGCGGGAAACUCGUUUCAAGAUGAGAUCUGCCGGGGCCUUGAGCCCCCUAAAGAGUCGUUCAAGACCAGGACGUUGAUAGGUCAGGUGUGGAAGC